Molecule: ribosomal RNA, 256 nt
Filed under: uncultured bacterium
Lineage: Bacteria
Description: partial 16S ribosomal RNA
Rfam family: Bacterial small subunit ribosomal RNA
Source: RNAcentral
UAAUACGGAGGAUCCAAGCGUUAUCCGGAUUUAUUGGGUUUAAAGGGUGCGCAGGCGGAAGAUUAAGUCGGCGGUGAAAUUUUGCAGCUCAACUGUAAAAGUGCCAUCGAUACUGGUUUUCUUGAGUGUGGAUGAAGUAGGCGGAAUUUGUGGUGUAGCGGUGAAAUGCAUAGAUAUCACGAGGAACUCCGAUUGCGCAGGCAGCUUACUAAGCCAUAACUGACGCUCAGGCACGAAGGCGUGGGGAUCAAACAGG